Molecule: ribosomal RNA, 493 nt
Filed under: uncultured bacterium
Lineage: Bacteria
Description: partial 16S ribosomal RNA
Rfam family: Bacterial small subunit ribosomal RNA
Source: RNAcentral
GAUGAACGCUGGCGGCGUGCCUAAUACAUGCAAGUCGAGCGAACGGACGAGAAGCUUGCUUCUCUGAUGUUAGCGGCGGACGGGUGAGUAACACGUGGAUAACCUACCUAUAAGACUGGGAUAACUUCGGGAAACCGGAGCUAAUACCGGAUAAUAUUUUGAACCGCAUGGUUCAAAAGUGAAAGACGGUCUUGCUGUCACUUAUAGAUGGAUCCGCGCUGCAUUAGCUAGUUGGUAAGGUAACGGCUUACCAAGGCAACGAUGCAUAGCCGACCUGAGAGGGUGAUCGGCCACACUGGAACGGAGACACGGUCCAGACUCCUACGGGAGGCAGCAGUAGGGAAUCUUCCGCAAUGGGCGAAAGCCUGACGGAGCAACGCCGCGUGAGUGAUGAAGGUCUUCGGAUCGUAAAACUCUGUUAUUAGGGAAGAACAUAUGUGUAAGUAACUGUGCACAUCUUGACGGUACCUAAUCAGAAAGCCACGGCUAACUA